RNAcentral lists this ribosomal RNA (390 nucleotides) under uncultured bacterium. Its description in RNAcentral is "partial 16S ribosomal RNA". It matches the Rfam family "Bacterial small subunit ribosomal RNA", at positions 523 to 916 of the family's 1533-position model. The record is from RNAcentral.
AUACGGAGGAUCCGAGCGUUAUCCGGAUUUAUUGGGUUUAAAGGGUGCGCAGGCGGCCAUUUAAGUCAGCGGUGAACUCGUGGGGCUCAACCCCAUUCUGCCGUUGAUACUGGGUGGCUUGAUUGCGGUCGAGGUUGGCGGUAUUCGCUGUGUAGCGGUGAAAUGCAUAGAUAUGACGAAGAACACCGAUUGCGUAGGCAGCUGACCAGACCGCAAAUGACGCUCAUGCACGAAAGUGCGGGGAUCGAACAGGAUUAGAUACCCUGGUAGUUCGCACAGGAAACGAUGAAUACUUGUUUUCGGCGAUAUAAUGUCGGAGGCAAAGCGAAAGCGAUAAGUAUUCCACCUGGGGAGUACGCCGGCAACGGUGAAACUCAAAUGAAUUGACGG